RNAcentral lists this transfer RNA (82 nucleotides) under Ixodes scapularis (black-legged tick). RNAcentral describes it as "tRNA-Ser". It matches the Rfam family "tRNA". From Rfam's summary of the family: Transfer RNA (tRNA) molecules are approximately 80 nucleotides in length. Their secondary structure includes four short double-helical elements and three loops (D, anti-codon, and T loops). Further hydrogen bonds mediate the characteristic L-shaped molecular structure. tRNAs have two regions of fundamental functional importance: the anti-codon, which is responsible for specific mRNA codon recognition, and the 3' end, to which the tRNAs corresponding amino acid is attached (by aminoacyl-tRNA synthetases). tRNAs cope with the degeneracy of the genetic code in two manners: having more than one tRNA (with a specific anti-codon) for a particular amino acid; and 'wobble' base-pairing, i.e. permitting non-standard base-pairing at the 3rd anti-codon position. Lineage: Eukaryota; Metazoa; Arthropoda; Arachnida; Ixodida; Ixodidae. The record is from RNAcentral.
GCAGUCGUGGCCGAGUGGUUAAGGCGGUGGACUAGAAAUCCAUUGGGGUCUCCCCGCACAGGUUCAAAUCCUGUCGACUGCG